GUGACUAGUGCUGUGAUGUGAUACUCGA
RNAcentral lists this small RNA (28 nucleotides) under Bombyx mori (domestic silkworm). RNAcentral describes it as "ovarian small RNA-17839". Lineage: Eukaryota; Metazoa; Arthropoda; Insecta; Lepidoptera; Bombycidae. The record is from RNAcentral.